UUUUUUUUUUUGGCUCAGAUUGAACGCUAGCGGCAUGCUUUACACAUGCAAGUCGAACGGCAGCGCGGGGUAACCUGGCGGCGAGUGGCGAACGGGUGAGUAAUACAUCGGAACGUGCCCUGUGAUGGGGGAUAACUACGCGAAAGCGUAGCUAAUACCGCAUACGACCUACGGGUGAAAGUGGGGGAUCGCAAGACCUCACGUCAUAGGAGCGGCCGAUGGCGGAUUAGCUAGUUGGUGAGGUAAAGGCUUACCAAGGCAACGAUCCGUAGCUGGUCUGAGAGGACGACCAGCCACACUGGGACUGAGACACGGCCCAGACUCCUACGGGAGGCAGCAGUGGGGAAUCUUGGACAAUGGGGGCAACCCUGAUCCAGCAAUGCCGCGUGUGGGAUGAAGGCCUUCGGGUUGUAAACCACUUUUGGCGGGGGCGAAAUAUCGAGUGCUAAUACCAUUCGGUGA
This 462-nucleotide ribosomal RNA is filed under the name uncultured Thiomonas sp. RNAcentral describes it as "partial 16S ribosomal RNA". It matches the Rfam family "Bacterial small subunit ribosomal RNA", at positions 12 to 472 of the family's 1533-position model. Lineage: Bacteria; Pseudomonadati; Pseudomonadota; Betaproteobacteria; Burkholderiales. The record is from RNAcentral.